CCUACGGGCGGCUGCAGUGAGGAAUAUUGGUCAAUGGGCGUAAGCCUGAACCAGCCAAGUCGCGUGAGGGAUGAAGGUUCUAUGGAUCGUAAACCUCUUUUAUAAGGGAAUAAAGUGCGGGACGUGUCCCGUUUUGUAUGUACCUUAUGAAUAAGGAUCGGCUAACUCCGUGCCAGCAGCCGCGGUAAUAAGGAGGAUCCGAGCGUUAUCCGGAUUGAUUGGGUUUAAAGGGGGCGUAGGCGGCCUUUUACUUCAGCGGGGAAAGUCUGUGGCUCAACCAUAGAAUUGCCGUUGAAACUGGGAGGCUUGAGUAUGUUUGAGGCAGGCGGAAUGCGUGGUGUAGCGGUGAAAUGCUUAGAUAUCACGCAGAACCCCGAUUGCGAAGGCAGCCUGCCAAGCCAUGACUGACGCUGAUGCACGAAAGCGUGGGGAUCAAACAGGAUUAGAUACCCCUGUAGUC
This 460-nucleotide ribosomal RNA is filed under the name uncultured bacterium. RNAcentral's name for it is "partial 16S ribosomal RNA". It matches the Rfam family "Bacterial small subunit ribosomal RNA", at positions 338 to 795 of the family's 1533-position model. The record is from RNAcentral.